CAGGUUGACCUCGGAUCAGGUAGGAAUA
This 28-nucleotide ribosomal RNA is filed under the name Colletotrichum nymphaeae. RNAcentral describes it as "partial 28S ribosomal RNA". Lineage: Eukaryota; Fungi; Ascomycota; Sordariomycetes; Glomerellales; Glomerellaceae. The record is from RNAcentral. RNAcentral also lists the same sequence under 1 other name.